GUGAAAGCCCACAACUCAACUGUGGAAAUGCAGUCGGAAACUGCAGGACUGGAGUACUGGAGAGGAGAGCGGAAUUCUUGGUGUAGCGGUGAAAUGCGUAGAUAUCAAGAGGAACACCGGUGGCGAAGGCGGCUCUCUGGACAGAUACUGACGGUGAGGCUCUAAAGUUAGGGGAGCAAACAGGAUUAGAUACCCUGGUAGUCAUAACUUUAAACGGUGUACACUUGGUGUGCGAGGAAUUGUCUCUUCGCGCGCCGCAGCUAACGCGAUAAGUGUACUGCUUGGGGAGUACGGUCGCAAGAUUAAAACUCAAAGGAAGUGACGGGGACCCGCACAAGCGGUGGAGCAUGUGGCUUAAUUCGAUGCAACGCGAAGAACCUUACCUGGACUUGACAUGCAAGUGGUAGAACCUUGAAAGAGGGACGACCGUAGCAAUACGGAGCUUGCACAGGUGGUGCAUGGCUGUUGUCAGAUCGUGCCCUGAGGUUCUGGGUUAAGUCCCGCAACGAGCGCAACCCUUGUGGUUAGUUGCCCUUAUUCAGUUAGGCACUCUAGCCCGACUGCCUGUGAUAAGCAGGAGGAAGGUGGGGAUGACGUCAAGUCAGUAUGGUCCUUAUGUCCAGGGCUGCACACGUGCUACAAUGACCAGCACAGAAGGAAGCAAGGCCGCGAGGCGGAGCUAAUCCCCAAAACUGGUCUCAGUUCGGAUUGGAGUCUGCAACCCGACUCCAUGAAGCUGGAAUCGCAAGUAACGGCGCAUCAGCUACGGCGCCGUGAAUACGUUCCCGGGUCUUGUACACACCGCCCGUCACAUCAUGGGAGCCGAUUGCACCCGAAGUCGUUGAUUCGACCCCCAAGGGAGACAGACAC
RNAcentral lists this ribosomal RNA (870 nucleotides) under uncultured bacterium. RNAcentral's name for it is "bacterial SSU rRNA". It matches the Rfam family "Bacterial small subunit ribosomal RNA", at positions 594 to 1456 of the family's 1533-position model. The record is from RNAcentral.